CUGGAAUCGCUAGUAAUCGCGGAUCAGAAUGCCGCGGUGAAUACGUUCCCGGGUCUUGUACACACCGCCCGUCACACCAUGGGAGUCGGUAACGCCCGAAGUCAGUGACCCAACCCUAAAGGAGGGAGCUGCCGAAGGCGGGACUGGUAACUGGGGUGAAGUCGUAACAAGGUACC
RNAcentral lists this ribosomal RNA (176 nucleotides) under uncultured bacterium. RNAcentral describes it as "partial 16S ribosomal RNA". It matches the Rfam family "Bacterial small subunit ribosomal RNA", at positions 1326 to 1500 of the family's 1533-position model. The record is from RNAcentral.